UGGGGAAUAUUGGACAAUGGGGGAAACCCUGAUCCAGCAAUGCCGCGUGAGUGAUGAAGGUCUUCGGAUUGUAAAGCUCUUUUGGCAGGGACGAUGAUGACGGUACCUGCAGAAUAAGCUCCGGCUAACUUCGUGCCAGCAGCCGCGGUAAUACGAAGGGAGCAAGCGUUGUUCGGAUUUACUGGGCGUAAAGGAUGCGUAGGCGGUUUAGAAAGUUAGGUGUGAAAGCCCUGGGCUUAACUCAGGAAUAGCAUUUAAAACUCCUAGACUCGAGUAUGGUAGAGGUUGGUGGAAUUCCCAGUGUAGAGGUGAAAUUCGUAGAUAUUGGGAAGAACAUCGGUGGCGAAGGCGGCCAACUGGACCAUAACUGACGCUGAGGCAUGAAAGCGUGGGGAGCAAA
Molecule: ribosomal RNA, 400 nt
Filed under: uncultured bacterium
Lineage: Bacteria
Description: bacterial SSU rRNA
Rfam family: Bacterial small subunit ribosomal RNA
Source: RNAcentral